Molecule: ribosomal RNA, 427 nt
Filed under: uncultured bacterium
Lineage: Bacteria
Description: partial 16S ribosomal RNA
Rfam family: Bacterial small subunit ribosomal RNA
Source: RNAcentral
GUGGGGAAUAUUGGGCAAUGGGGGAAACCCUGACCCAGCGACGCCGCGUGAGGGAAGACGGCCUUCGGGUUGUAAACCUCUUUUGUACGGGAAGAAGGAAGUGACGGUACUGUACGAAUAAGUCCCGGCUAACUACGUGCCAGCAGCCGCGGUAAUACGUAGGGGACGAGCGUUGUCCGGACUUACUGGGCGUAAAGGGCGCGCAGGCUGUGCUGCAAGUCAGCUGUGAAAUGUCUGGGCUGAACCCGGACAUGCGGUUGAGACUGCAGUGCUGGAGUGCUGUAGAGGCAAGUGGAAUUCCCAGUGUAGCGGUGAAAUGCGUAGAUAUUGGGAAGAACACCGGUGGCGAAGGCGACUUGCUGGGCAGCAACUGACGCUGAGGCGCGAAAGCCAGGGGAGCAAACGGGAUUAGAUACCCCUAUAGUCC